RNAcentral lists this ribosomal RNA (529 nucleotides) under uncultured bacterium. Its description in RNAcentral is "bacterial SSU rRNA". It matches the Rfam family "Bacterial small subunit ribosomal RNA", at positions 777 to 1308 of the family's 1533-position model. The record is from RNAcentral.
AAUAGAUACCCUGGUAGUCCACGCCGUAAACGAUGAGUGCUAGGUGUUAGGGGGUCCAACCCUUAGUGCCGAAGUUAACACAUUAAGCACUCCGCCUGGGGAGUACGGUCGCAAGACUGAAACUCAAAGGAAUUGACGGGGGCCCGCACAAGCGGUGGAGCAUGUGGUUUAAUUCGAAGCAACGCGAAGAACCUUACCAGGGCUUGACAUCCCUCUGACCGUUCUAGAGAUAGAGCUUCCCUUCGGGGCAGAGGUGACAAGUGGUGCAUGGUUGUCGUCAGCUCGUGUCGUGAGAUGUUGGGUUAAGUCCCGCAACGAGCGCAACCCUUGUCCUUAGUUGCCAGCAUUCAGUUGGGCACUCUAGGGAGACUGCCGGUGACAAACCGGAGGAAGGUGGGGAUGACGUCAAAUCAUCAUGCCCCUUAUGUCCUGGGCUACACACGUGCUACAAUGGCUGGUACAAAGGGUAGCGAAGCAGUGAUGUGGAGCCAAUCCCAAAAAGCCAGUCACAGUUCGGAUUGUAGGCUGC